Molecule: ribosomal RNA, 629 nt
Filed under: bacterium TN196C
Lineage: Bacteria
Description: bacterial SSU rRNA
Rfam family: Bacterial small subunit ribosomal RNA
Source: RNAcentral
AAGGCUAAAACUCAAAGGAAUUGACGGGGGCCCGCACAAGCGGCGGAGCAUGCGGAUUAAUUCGAUGCAACGCGAAGAACCUUACCAAGGCUUGACAUGAACCGGAAAGACCUGGAAACAGGUGCCCCGCUUGCGGUCGGUUUACAGGUGGUGCAUGGUUGUCGUCAGCUCGUGUCGUGAGAUGUUGGGUUAAGUCCCGCAACGAGCGCAACCCUCGUUCUAUGUUGCCAGCGCGUUAUGGCGGGGACUCAUAGGAGACUGCCGGGGUCAACUCGGAGGAAGGUGGGGACGACGUCAAAUCAUCAUGCCCCUUAUGUCUUGGGCUUCACGCAUGCUACAAUGGCCGGUACAAAGGGUUGCGAUACUGUGAGGUGGAGCUAAUCCCAAAAAGCCGGUCUCAGUUCGGAUUGGGGUCUGCAACUCGACCCCAUGAAGUCGGAGUCGCUAGUAAUCGCAGAUCAGCAACGCUGCGGUGAAUACGUUCCCGGGCCUUGUACACACCGCCCGUCAAGUCACGAAAGUUGGUAACACCCGAAGCCGGUGGCCUAACCCUUGUGGGGGGAGCCGUCGAAGGUGGGACCGGCGAUUGGGACUAAGUCGUAACAAGGUAGCCGUACCGGAAGGUGCGG